UUCGGGAAUGGAUUAGUGGCGAACGGGUGAGGAACACGUGAGAAACCUGCCUUUCAUUCUGGGAUAACACCGGGAAACCGGUGCUAAUACCAAAUAACGUCGGAGAGUCACAUGACUUUCUGACGAAAGGAAUUCCGAUUCGAGAGGGUCUCGCGGCCUAUCAGCUUGUUGGUGGGGUAAUGGCCUACCAAGGCAACGACGGGUAGCUGGUCUGAGAGGAUGAUCAGCCACACUGGGACUGAGACACGGCCCAGACUCC
This 259-nucleotide ribosomal RNA is filed under the name uncultured bacterium. RNAcentral describes it as "partial 16S ribosomal RNA". It matches the Rfam family "Bacterial small subunit ribosomal RNA", at positions 80 to 339 of the family's 1533-position model. The record is from RNAcentral.